AACGAACGCUGGCGGCAUGCCUAAUACAUGCCAGUCGAACGAGAUCUUCGGAUCUAGUGGCGCACGGGUGCGUAACGCGUGGGAAUCUGCCCUUGGGUUCGGAAUAACUUCUGGAAACGGAAGCUAAUACCGGAUGAUGACGUAAGUCCAAAGAUUUAUCGCCCAAGGAUGAGCCCGCGUAGGAUUAGCUAGUUGGUGGGGUAAAGGCCCACCAAGGCGACGAUCCUUAGCUGGUCUGAGAGGAUGAUCAGCCACACUGGGACUGAGACACGGCCCAGACUCCUACGGGAGGCAGCAGUAGGGAAUAUUGGACAAUGGGCGAAAGCCUGAUCCAGCAAUGCCGCGUGAGUGAUGAAGGCCUUAGGGUUGUAAAGCUCUUUUACCCGGGAUGAUAAUGACAGUACCGGGAGAAUAAGCUCCGGCUAACUCCGUG
Molecule: ribosomal RNA, 433 nt
Filed under: uncultured bacterium
Lineage: Bacteria
Description: partial 16S ribosomal RNA
Rfam family: Bacterial small subunit ribosomal RNA
Source: RNAcentral